RNAcentral lists this ribosomal RNA (156 nucleotides) under Dioszegia hungarica. RNAcentral describes it as "5.8S ribosomal RNA". It matches the Rfam family "5.8S ribosomal RNA". From Rfam's summary of the family: 5.8S ribosomal RNA (5.8S rRNA) is a component of the large subunit of the eukaryotic ribosome. It is transcribed by RNA polymerase I as part of the 45S precursor that also contains 18S and 28S rRNA. The record is from RNAcentral. Lineage: Eukaryota; Fungi; Basidiomycota; Tremellomycetes; Tremellales; Bulleribasidiaceae. RNAcentral also lists the same sequence under 1 other name.
CAACUUUCAACAACGGAUCUCUUGGCUCUCACAUCGAUGAAGAACGCAGCGAAAUGCGAUAAGUAAUGUGAAUUGCAGAAUUCAGUGAAUCAUCGAAUCUUUGAACGCAAAUUGCGCCCUUUGGUAUUCCGAAGGGCAUGCCUGUUUGAGUGUCUU